CAGCCGUAAACUAUGCGCGUUAGGUGUACUGGUGACCACGAGUCACCGGGGUGCCGAAGGGAAACCGUGAAACGUGCCGCCUGGGAAGUACGGUCGCAAGGCUGAAACUUAAAGGAAUUGGCGGGAGAGCACCACAACGGGUGGAGCCUGCGGUUUAAUUGGACUCAACGCCGGAGAUCUCACCGGAUAGGACAGACAUAUGAUAGUCGGGCUGAAGACUCUACUUGAUGAUCUGAGAGGUGGUGCAUGGCGUCAGUGACU
Molecule: ribosomal RNA, 261 nt
Filed under: uncultured archaeon
Lineage: Archaea
Description: partial 16S ribosomal RNA
Rfam family: Archaeal small subunit ribosomal RNA
Source: RNAcentral